AAUCAACGCUGGCGGCGUGCCUCAGACAUGCAAGUCGAACGCGAAAGUCCCCUUCGGGGGACAAGUAGAGUGGCGCACGGGUGAGUAACACGUAGGUAAUCUACCUUCGGAUGGGGAAUAACAACCGGAAACGGUUGCUAAUACCGCAUAAUGCAGCGGCACCUAAUGGUGACAGUUGUUAAAGCGGGGGAUCGAAAGACCCCGCGUCUGAAGAGGAGCCUGCGGCGGAUUAGCUAGUUGGAAGGUAAUGGCUUACCAAGGCGACGAUCCGUAGCCGGCCUGAGAGGGCGGUCGGCCACACUGACACCGGACAUACGGGUCAGACUCCUACGGGAGGCAGCAGUCGGGAAUUUUGGGCAAUGGGCGAAAGCCUGACCCAGCAACGCCGCGUGAA
RNAcentral lists this ribosomal RNA (394 nucleotides) under uncultured bacterium. RNAcentral's name for it is "bacterial SSU rRNA". It matches the Rfam family "Bacterial small subunit ribosomal RNA", at positions 32 to 405 of the family's 1533-position model. The record is from RNAcentral.